Non-coding RNA from Peromyscus maniculatus bairdii (prairie deer mouse), 649 nucleotides. The record is from RefSeq and is a predicted model, not a curated record. NCBI's taxonomy places the organism in Eukaryota, Metazoa, Chordata, Mammalia, Rodentia, Cricetidae.
AGCUCAGGACCCCAGCCCAUGAGAUUCUGCCAUCCACAUUUGGAUUGAAUCCUCUCUCUUCAGUUAAAUCGUCCUGGAAACACUUUCAUAGACAUGCCCAGAGGAAGAAAGGUCAGAGCGCAGAGAUAUGGUCACAUCUCCCAUUUCAAACCAAACUGGUUCUGCAGAGGCUGCCUCAGCACCACCGUGGAACAUCACAGCCAUGGCAGGAGGAGGGCUCCUGAUGUCUCCAAAAGGAAGGAAAUCAUUACAGGGCCCUACAGAAGUAGGUCAUGUGCUACAGCUGCUCAUAGUUUGGGAGGAAGAAACAUCGGACCUCAAACCUGGAACACGACUCUUGCAAAAUGUUUGUGAGCAGCCCAAGAAAAACAUCCUCCCGAGCCUUAUCUAAUAAGCGUGAUCUCUAAUCGCCUCAGUGUGUGCCCGGCUUUCUUUAGGACUUUGCACCUACUUCCCAGGGUUUGGGAGAGGCUGGGGCAGGACACAGAGAGCCCUAAUGAAGGGGAUUUAAUAGUUUGUGUUAAAGCUAAUGUGGUCCAUUAGGAGCUGUCAUUUUUAUAAACAAUGAAGAUAUGUUACCCUCUUCUGGGGUGGAAAGCCAUUCCUCGCAAGACCUUGUAACGAUCUGUGGAACACGCAUGACCGACCA